UACGUAGGGUGCAAGCGUUAAUCGGAAUUACUGGGCGUAAAGCGUGCGCAGGCGGUGAUGUAAGCCAGAUGUGAAAUCCCCGGGCUCAACCUGGGAACUGCAUUUGUGACUGCAUCGCUGGAGUGCGGCAGAGGGGGAUGGAAUUCCGCGUGUAGCAGUGAAAUGCGUAGAUAUGCGGAGGAACACCGAUGGCGAAGGCAGUCCCCUGGGCCUGCACUGACGCUCAUGCGCGAAAGCGUGGGGAGCAAACAGG
Molecule: ribosomal RNA, 253 nt
Filed under: uncultured bacterium
Lineage: Bacteria
Description: partial 16S ribosomal RNA
Rfam family: Bacterial small subunit ribosomal RNA
Source: RNAcentral